UGGGAGUGUUUAUAGUGUCAACACUUUGAAAAGGUCCAAGAACUGUCCGCUCUAAAACACAAGCCAAUAUGAUUCUCUUCAUCUGGGCAUUUUACUGCAUCCAAGGUUCUUUUGGGCAGGUUGUCGUGACUCAGUCUGAGGCUGAAUCAGUUCAGCUCGGUCAAACAGUCUCCAUUGACUGUAAGGCAAACACUGUAGUUUAUAGGUAUCCACAGGGCUCAGUAUCCAAAGAUUAUUAUAUCUCCUGGUAUCUUCAGAGGCCAGAUGAACCCCCUAAACUCCUUAUAUAUUUCACAACAAUGAAGCCUUCAAGUGCUCCAUCUAGAAUGAGCGGUGGAGGCAGUUUUCACUCUGGAGGAAAUGGUCUUGAUUUCAGCCUGAACAUAAACGAUGCCCAGCUUGAAGAUGCAGGAGAUUAUUACUGUAUGAGUUACCAUGAGAUCAGUAGUAAAGCAGUGUUCACACAGUGAAAAAAUCCUGUACAAAAACCU
This is a non-coding RNA of Sinocyclocheilus grahami, 491 nucleotides long. The record is from the annotation of a RefSeq genome assembly. NCBI's taxonomy places the organism in Eukaryota, Metazoa, Chordata, Actinopteri, Cypriniformes, Cyprinidae.